CAGUGGGCAGCUGCACACUGACAGGAGCCUUGUUCUUUCCUGUGUUUGAGCACAGUCUGCAAACUGGAACAGCAGCGCUCCAAUGAUGGAGCCACUCGCUGCUGCAGUUUGCGGUGUUUACGGCAUUGUUUAUUCCGGCUAUUACUUGACUAAUCUGGCAUGUCACCUGAGGUGUGUAUUCGGAGGUGCCAAUCCUGAGAGCCCAGAACCAGCAGCAGUCUCUUCCCUGGCUCCCUGUGCUUCUGGAGAAGAGGCCAAAGAAGAGCAAAUUGAACAAGCAGAGCACAAGUGGCCUGAAAAUUUCUUGACAGUAAGUGCCAGUUCUGGGUGGGGCUGUCUUUAGUGAGGGGCAGAGCUGCAAGUUUCUGGCCAGCCAGCGCUUGCUGUUGGAGGCUGAGGGUGCUGAGGGCUGGAGUCCUGGCAGCACCUAGCCAUUCCCUCCAGCACAAGAUAGCUGGGAAUUGGGCUUUGAGCUGUCGUGCUGAGGCACCAAAGCACUGGUGCCUGUGGGUGAGCAUCUGGCUGCUUGGCUCAGUGCUGCUCUGAAUCUUGGCUUCUCCAAUGCCAUGGCCAAGGGCACUGGGGGGAGUUCUGGGCCUCACGGGGCUUGGUUUGUUUGCUUUCCCUUUUUAGAAUUCUGUGUUCAGCUAGUGAAACAGCUCUGUAGUUUUUUGAGCAAUUCUUCACUUUUACAGAGUCUGGUGGCCCAUCUGUCCUUUGGCUUUUGUUAAACUGUUGCCAUGACAUGCUGCCGGAUUUUCCCCAGCCAGCUCCCGGCACCGGGCCAGGAGUGGGCUGCUCCGGGGAAGCGCAGGAGCUUAGGGCUUAUGCUCUAUGGCACUGGCUGUCCAGUGUCAGGGACAGGAGCAAGGAGGGAGAGGUCUUCCAUGUGGCUUCAAAAGAGAUUUAUUCUCUUGAAGGAUCCAGAAACAAAAGACAAAAGAAACGGGGCGUACAGAAACUUCUCUGCGGGGGAGGAGCAAGGGGCGUGUACAUAUAACAACCCAACAGGGAAGACUUAGGGGAGGAGCACAAGGCGGGGUUACAUAAUACAUAAACCAAUGGAGAACACAAGGGGAGGAGAGUGGGGCACAUGGGCCAAUGGGGCUCGGAGGAGCAGGGGAAUUCCAAACGGGGCGGUCCAGGCAGGGGUUGGCACAAGGGAGGAUUGACAACUUAAUGGGCGGGGGAAGAGCGAACAUUCGGGAACAAGGGGCAGGUAUCAGGGUGGAUUGGCAACCGGGGUAGGAGGGCACAACUGGGAAUAAACUAUUACCAAGGGUAGGGGGUACGACUUAACAAUACAAAAGAUAAUUGAAUCAAAUAAAAUGAAUAAAAAUACACCACAACACUGCCAGGAGAUGGUAAUGUUGUCCAUGAAGCUGUGAAGGCCAUUCUUGUCCCAUGAGGCCAAAGAAACAAACUGUGUGGUUCUGAAGCCUUCCUCUGAGGUUAAAAGCGUAAGCAGCAAGCUUCUGUGGAUACAUUUUGUGGUGAAGUCUGCAGCUUUGAAAGCUGCUUUGAAGCCUCGAAUGCGGGGUGACUGAAAAUCCUUGAGAACAGGAAAGGCGUCUCCAAAUUCCGGAUGCUGUCUUUGCAGUCAAAUGUGUAACGUGG
Cyanistes caeruleus (blue tit) is the source of this 1617-nucleotide non-coding RNA. The record is from RefSeq and is a predicted model, not a curated record. NCBI's taxonomy places the organism in Eukaryota, Metazoa, Chordata, Aves, Passeriformes, Paridae.